ACAGGAAAACAUUUAAAUGUUCCUUUAAACUAUAAGAUGGUUUCAGCUGUCAGUCAGCACCACCCUUACACGUGGAGGUUGUAAGGCUGUUAGAAACCACGUGGUACUUGUAAGAUCUCAUAACUUGCCAUUGUUCUGCAUCAGCCUAACAGAGCACCACUUCUCUCCAGGUUCAGGAGAGAAACCAUCACUGCACACGAUGCUUUUCCUCCCAGCUGCUGCUCUGUGCUGUCUGUGUUCAGCAUCACUUCUCCUGAGAUUCACCAGAGGAAACGUCACUGAACACAACGGUUCACACAAUGCUUUUCCUCCCAGCUGCUGCUCUGUGUUGUCUGUGUUUAGCGCUGGUUACCAUGGCUGCAGAGCUGAUGCAGAAAGAUUUAACUUUGACUGCGACACCUGGCAAAAAAGUCUCCUUCAGCUGUGGAACUGCCCAGUGCAGUGGCAGCUAUGUGCACUGGUACCAGAAGAAAGACGAUGAUAAGUUCAGAGUGAUUCUUCAUAUUAACGUACGCACUGGUGAAGUCGACAGUGACUACAACCAUGCUCAGAAAAAAGAUUUCUCAGCUGUGAAAAACGAGAACAGCUGUGAGUUGGAGAUAAAUGCAGUUAGCCUCGUUCAUUCAGCCAUCUACUACUGCUGCUGUGCUCAAAGCUCUCACAGUGACAAAAGAUCCCUGCAGACUGAACAAAAACCAUCAAAGGAACAGCAGCAGACCACAGACCAGGUUCACACACACACUGACACAGGCAUCACCUUUAAAACCAUAACAACUAGUUUGUAUUCUAUUUAUAUAAGAAGUAAAAAUAAUCAAGACCAAAAUAAAUUCA
This is a long non-coding RNA of Oreochromis niloticus (Nile tilapia), 831 nucleotides long. RefSeq lists it as uncharacterized. The transcript is spliced from 3 exons. Lineage: Eukaryota; Metazoa; Chordata; Actinopteri; Cichliformes; Cichlidae. The record is from RefSeq and is a predicted model, not a curated record.